Non-coding RNA from Pelobates cultripes (western spadefoot toad), 240 nucleotides. Lineage: Eukaryota; Metazoa; Chordata; Amphibia; Anura; Pelobatidae. The record is from the annotation of a GenBank genome assembly.
GCCAUGUAAAAAAUGAUGACAACUACUAGGUAUUUUUUUUUUUUUUUGUAAAUAUUUGUGGUUAUUGUUGGCACCAGUAACCUUCAGGGCAUUUUUUUUUUUUUUUUUUUAAUGAAAAUAUUUCCCAAAACGACAAACUAGAGAACAGAACGUCAAAAGUCAUGCUACAUAGAGAUAUACAGUUGAAUAUAAUGUGUAAUUUAAAACAAAUUUAAAACAUUUUAAAAAAAACGGGUUGGG